Long non-coding RNA from Jaculus jaculus (lesser Egyptian jerboa), 1228 nucleotides. RefSeq lists it as uncharacterized. The transcript is spliced from 3 exons. The record is from RefSeq and is a predicted model, not a curated record. Lineage: Eukaryota; Metazoa; Chordata; Mammalia; Rodentia; Dipodidae.
CCUGGAUGGGUUCCCAAGCAGGAAAAUGACUCCAGGCUGACCUUCUUUCUCCUCAGGUCUUCCAGAGACAGUCUUUUUCUGCUGGAGAUUUCUCCCACAGAGGAGGAAGAAGACUCCAGAGGCGGAGGAUGAAGCCGUCAUGUGCAGUUGAGACCAUUUCACACUUCUGUGUCAUGGGUCCCCAUCUCACUCGCAGACCUCCAUUGCUACUUGUGGGACAUGGAUGCCCUGCAUCAGAAUGGGAGUCACCUGCAGAACUUACCUUUGGGGGCACAUAUUAGCUAAGGCCAAGAACUGUAGGUAUCUGAAGGGUCCCAGGCCACUUACUUUGCAGAAUCCCAGCGAGGCUGAAGCCAUUCGCAGAACAGGUCUUGCUGGUUUUGAAUUGCAGACUUGGCACAUACACAGAGAUGGAAGGCUUUGCAACUACAGGACAUGGAUUUGAGAAUGGAAAACCACGCACACCAUGCUGGAGGCGAAAGCGACACCGCCAGGACUGUGUCUUCCCCUCCGCCGUUGUUGCCAGCGAGCCUCGGCUUCUAAUGUGAGGAAAAACACGGACUGACAAGUGUGGGAAAGAGCAAGCACUAAAUUACUGUCAGAAAAAUAAACGGAGUAGCACAGUGGUGCUCGGUGAUUUACGGGGGCAAUUAGUCACCACCCCACGGCGCUGCUGAGGACGGCACUGCAGCGAUGCAUCAGGACCACGAGGAAGAGGAGGCUGCUGCUCUGCAGACAACUUCUCAAACAAGAAAGGGUACCUGAGCCCAUUAAGUCCCAUGUCGUCACUCUGGGUGCCUACCCUUCCCACCUUCCCGCUGGCUUCGUGAAUACACAUAGCUUUAACACAGUCGAAUCCUGUUCUGUGUGUUCAACAGCCUCCAACUACAGGUUUUCUCUCCCUUUGUCCACAAGUGGGUUUCCUCAAUCCCCUAAAAUCCAAAAGUCCUGUUUUCACUCUUCCGUUGACCCCUGGGGUCUGUCCUGUUGCUUAUUGCAUCCUUCUACCAGGCUCUGCAUUGGCUCAGAACUACUUGGUGCUAAGGAAUUGGAUCCACAGCUCCUCCACAGAAGUUCGGCGAGCUGGGACAAGGACCCACCUGAUGAACGUGCCAAGAAAAUGAAAAAGAUACAUAAAUGUCCUGUUGCUUGAACACAUGUUCAUUAACACACCAUAUGUAUUGCCUGUGUGUAACAUAGCAAAAUAAAUCUGCUAUGGUAUAAUUAA